GUCGAAGACUGCUGUAUAGAUUUAUAUUAUAUUACUAAACUAUAUUAAAUGCACAGAUAAGGUCCUAAGCAAGGCUAUGAAAGGAAAAACAAGAAAAAGAGAAAGAGGUCCUACAAUAUUUGAUACCCUGUGUAAUGAUAAAGACACUGUGGCAGAGACUAGAAAAACAGGCAUAUACUCAAUACCAGUUUACAACAGGAAUGAGGAUAAGAUGCAAUACUACAUUGGAAGUACAAAAAGAAACCUCAAAAAAAAAAAAAAGAACACAUCGAGAGUAUACAAGCAGCAAAACUAGAUACGGCUCUAACCACUAUGGCAGGGAUUCCCAACCUUUUUUUCUAUGUUGACCCCUUUAAACUUUCUUCUCUUUCAAAAUAUCCCUAAUUUUUUUGUUGCAGCAUAUUAAUAAAGCGUAAUGUAGAACUG
RNAcentral lists this long non-coding RNA (426 nucleotides) under Androctonus crassicauda. Lineage: Eukaryota; Metazoa; Arthropoda; Arachnida; Scorpiones; Buthidae. The record is from RNAcentral.